GGGGCGGCGGGGGGUUGCAGGAAGUCUCGCAGAGUUAAAAGUAGAGGACAGGGCUAUUGAGGAGGCAGAGGGAACACGAGCAAGUCUUAACAGCAGUGUUGGAAACCUUAGUGAGAGGACAUGACACUGCUUUGUUAUUAUUACUGUUGUUAUUGUUAUUAUUUGCAGAUCCAGCUCUGCAGUUCAUGGGGGAGAGAGGCCACAGGCAAAAUAGUAAUUCUGUGAAGACAACAAUACUCAUCUUAAAGAGCUGUUUAUAAGGCUCUAACUAAAUGAGAUAAUUGAUACAAAGGGUAUGUGGCGCAUAGCAUAGGCCUUUUUCUCUGACCCCACCUUCCAUUGACACCGACAAACUCUUGCCCCCUAAUGAGUUUGCUGCAUCUCAUGAGGUCCCUGAACACCAUCUGCAGGUGCCGGAGGUAAGCCCUGUCGGACUGGAUGGUUUCAUACAGGGCGAGCACAAGCUGUUGUGGAAAGUUAUGUAAAACCAAGCAGACGCAAAGACCAAGGCAUGGUGGGGACAGGGCCCAGGAACCCUACGACAGCCCUGCCCUUCAAGCCUCUCCCAUCUCUGCAACACCUGGAUGCUUCCUGAAAAGGUUUGCUAACCCCUGAUGUCGAGGAAAGAACACGUCGCUCUAAGCCUUGGAUCAGACAACUUGGAAUCCACACUCGUUUUGAUAAUCUACCUUUCAAAGUUUUCAUUUCUCUUCUGAGAAAUGGGAGACUGUAUUCCUGGGGCCAACUGACCACUGAGCUCACUAAUUACGAUAAUUUAUGACACUGAAUAAAAUCAUGAAUGUGAAAAUGCACGUGAAGCUGUAAGAAGUUACACAGAAUGUUCAAUAUCAUUAGGGCUGUUUUCAAAGUAUCUGGCAAAAGAGAGACGGCCAAGAAAGUUGUUUUUUCCUCAAUAGAGGUGAAGAGGAAAUAAAUAAUAAUGAUUGCCAAAGAGUUCAUUAGUCUUUUUAUUUGUGUCAGUUAAUGUAUAGUUUGGAGGUGCUAUAAGCUGGGUUACUAAGAUUAAAGUGAAAGAAGUAAAAUCCACAGCCACCUUGAGGAUGGACUGAAAAAAGGUGUUAGGGGUGAGGUACAGCCAGGUAUUGUGGCAGUUAGAGGGGAGGCGGGCACAGGUCUGAGGGGAUGCCUACCUACCUGGGAGCUACAGAGUGGAACUGGCAGAAGGCAAGAAUGGGAAGACAAAUUCAGGAAAUACUGCAUUUAUAACAGCAGUUACGCAUUGUUUAUCUGAAAUGCAAACCUAGCCGGGCAUUUUAUAGUUUUAUUUGUGAAAUCUGGCAACUCUCCCCACUCUGUGUUGUUC
RNAcentral lists this long non-coding RNA (1324 nucleotides) under Zalophus californianus (California sea lion). RNAcentral describes it as "lncRNA (ENSZCAG00015014106.1)". Lineage: Eukaryota; Metazoa; Chordata; Mammalia; Carnivora; Otariidae. The record is from RNAcentral.